This 548-nucleotide ribosomal RNA is filed under the name uncultured Acidobacteriota bacterium. Its description in RNAcentral is "bacterial SSU rRNA". It matches the Rfam family "Bacterial small subunit ribosomal RNA", at positions 355 to 896 of the family's 1533-position model. Lineage: Bacteria; Pseudomonadati; Acidobacteriota. The record is from RNAcentral.
UAGGGAAUCUUCCACAAUGGACGAAAGUCUGAUGGAGCAACGCCGCGUGAGCGAAGAAGGUUUUCGGAUCGUAAAGCUCUGUUGCUGGAGAAGAACGAGUGCGAGAGGAAAUGCUCGUACUGUGACGGUAUCCAGCCAGAAAGCCACGGCUAACUACGUGCCAGCAGCCGCGGUAAUACGUAGGUGGCAAGCGUUGUCCGGAAUUAUUGGGCGUAAAGCGCGCGCAGGCGGCUUCUUAAGUCUGAUGUGAAAUCUUGCGGCUCAACCGCAAACGGUCAUUGGAAACUGGGAAGCUUGAGUGCAGAAGAGGAGAGUAGAAUUCCACGUGUAGCGGUGAAAUGCGUAGAUAUGUGGAGGAAUACCAGUGGCGAAGGCGGCUCUCUGGUCUGUAACUGACGCUGAGGCGCGAAAGCGUGGGGAGCAAACAGGAUUAGAUACCCUGGUAGUCCACGCCGUAAACGAUGGAUGCUAGCCGUUGGUGGGUUUACCCUUCAGUGGCGCAGCUAACGCAUUAAGCAUCCCGCCUGGGGAGUACGGUCGCAAGAUUA